RNAcentral lists this ribosomal RNA (378 nucleotides) under uncultured bacterium. RNAcentral's name for it is "bacterial SSU rRNA". It matches the Rfam family "Bacterial small subunit ribosomal RNA", at positions 29 to 407 of the family's 1533-position model. The record is from RNAcentral.
AUUGAACGCUGGCGGCAUGCCUUACACAUGCAAGUCGAACGGCAGCGCGGGAGCAAUCCUGGCGGCGAGUGGCGAACGGGUGAGUAAUAUAUCGGAACGUGCCCAGUAGUGGGGGAUAGCCCGGCGAAAGCCGGAUUAAUACCGCAUGAGACCUGAGGGUGAAAGCGGGGGAUCGCAAGACCUCGCGCUACUGGAGCGGCCGAUAUCAGAUUAGCUAGUUGGUGGGGUAAAGGCCUACCAAGGCAACGAUCUGUAGUUGGUCUGAGAGGACGACCAGCCACACUGGGACUGAGACACGGCCCAGACUCCUACGGGAGGCAGCAGUGGGGAAUUUUGGGACAAUGGGCGCAAGCCUGAUCCAGCAAUGCCGCGUGCAGG